This 72-nucleotide transfer RNA is filed under the name Camelus bactrianus (Bactrian camel). It matches the Rfam family "tRNA". Rfam says of the family: Transfer RNA (tRNA) molecules are approximately 80 nucleotides in length. Their secondary structure includes four short double-helical elements and three loops (D, anti-codon, and T loops). The record is from Rfam by way of RNAcentral. RNAcentral also lists the same sequence under 2 other names. Lineage: Eukaryota; Metazoa; Chordata; Mammalia; Artiodactyla; Camelidae.
GUGUGUAUAGCUCAGUGGUAGAGCACAUGCUUAGCAGGCACAGGGUGCUGGAUUCGAUCCCCAGUACCUCCA